Molecule: ribosomal RNA, 253 nt
Filed under: uncultured bacterium
Lineage: Bacteria
Description: partial 16S ribosomal RNA
Rfam family: Bacterial small subunit ribosomal RNA
Source: RNAcentral
UACAGAGGGUGCAAGCGUUAAUCGGAAUUACUGGGCGUAAAGCGCACGCAGGCGGUUGGUUAAGUCAGAUGUGAAAGCCCCGGGCUCAACCUGGGAAUUGCAUUUGAAACUGGCCAACUAGAGUACGUGAGAGGGGGGUAGAAUUCCAAGUGUAGCGGUGAAAUGCGUAGAGAUUUGGAGGAAUACCAGUGGCGAAGGUGGCCCCCUGGCACGAUACUGACGCUCAGGUGCGAAAGCGUGGGGAGCAAACAGG